Molecule: ribosomal RNA, 253 nt
Filed under: uncultured bacterium
Lineage: Bacteria
Description: partial 16S ribosomal RNA
Rfam family: Archaeal small subunit ribosomal RNA
Source: RNAcentral
UACCAGCACCCCGAGUGGUCGGGACGUUUAUUGGGCCUAAAGCGUCCGUAGCCGGUUCUGCAAGUCUCCCGUUAAAUCCAACUGCUCAACAGGUGGGCUGCGGAGGAUACUACAGAGCUAGGAGGCAGGAGAGGCAAGCGGUACUCAAUGGGUAGGGGUAAAAUCCGUUGAUCCAUUGAAGACCACCAGUGGCGAAGGCGGCUUGCCAGAAUGCGCUCGACGGUGAGGGAUGAAAGCUGGGGGAGCAAACCGG